RNAcentral lists this ribosomal RNA (1213 nucleotides) under metagenome. RNAcentral's name for it is "SSU rRNA". It matches the Rfam family "Eukaryotic small subunit ribosomal RNA", at positions 493 to 1731 of the family's 1831-position model. The record is from RNAcentral.
CUUUUGGGUCUUAUAAUUGGAAUGAGUACAAUUUAAAUCCCUUAACGAGGAACAAUUGGAGGGCAAGUCUGGUGCCAGCAGCCGCGGUAAUUCCAGCUCCAAUAGCGUAUAUUAAAGUUGUUGCAGUUAAAAAGCUCGUAGUUGAACUUCAGACCUGGCUGGAUGGUCUGCCUAACGGUAUGUACUGUCCGGCUGGGCCUUACCUCUUGGUGAGCCGGCAUGCCCUUCACUGGGUGUGUCGGGGAACCAGGACUUUUACCUUGAGAAAAUUAGAGUGUUCAAAGCAGGCUUAUGCUCGAAUACAUUAGCAUGGAAUAAUAAAAUAGGACGUGCGGUUCUAUUUUGUUGGUUUUUAGAGUCGCCGUAAUGAUUAAUAGGGAUAGUUGGGGGCAUUAGUAUUCAGUUGCUAGAGGUGAAAUUCUUGGAUUUACUGAAGACUAACUACUGCGAAAGCAUUUGCCAAGGAUGUUUUCAUUAAUCAAGAACGAAGGUUAGGGGAUCGAAAACGAUCAGAUACCGUUGUAGUCUUAACAGUAAACUAUGCCGACUAGGGAUCGGGCGAACUCAAUUUUAUGUGUCGCUCGGCACCUUACGAGAAAUCAAACUCUUUGGGUUCUGGGGGGAGUAUGGUCGCAAGGCUGAAACUUAAAGGAAUUGACGGAAGGGCACCACCAGGAGUGGAGCCUGCGGCUUAAUUUGACUCAACACGGGGAAACUCACCAGGUCCAGACAUGACUAGGAUUGACAGAUUGAUAGCUCUUUCAUGAUUUUAUGGGUGGUGGUGCAUGGCCGUUCUUAGUUGGUGGAGUGAUUUGUCUGGUUAAUUCCGAUAACGAACGAGACCUUAUCCUGCUAAAUAGCCAGGCCGGCUUUUGCUGGUCGCCGGCUUCUUAGAGGGACUGCGGUUGCGUCUAGCCCGCGGAAGUUUGAGGCAAUAACAGGUCUGUGAUGCCCUUAGAUGUUCUGGGCCGCACGCGCGCUACACUGACAGAGCCAGCGAGUUUUUCACCUUGGCCGGAAGGUCUGGGUAAUCUUGUGAAACUCUGUCGUGCUGGGGAUAGAGCAUUGCAAUUAUUGCUCUUCAACGAGGAAUUCCUAGUAAGCGUGAGUCAUCAGCUCGCGUUGAUUACGUCCCUGCCCUUUGUACACACCGCCCGUCGCUACUACCGAUUGAAUGGCUUAGUGAGGUCUUCGGAUUGGCUUCGGAGGGCCG